CAAGGGUUAGUUUAAAUAAAAAUAUUAAUUUUGGAGAUUAAUGAUAUGUAUGCUACAUUUCCUUGA
This 66-nucleotide transfer RNA is filed under the name Endelus continentalis. RNAcentral describes it as "tRNA-Pro". Lineage: Eukaryota; Metazoa; Arthropoda; Insecta; Coleoptera; Buprestidae. The record is from RNAcentral.